AGGCGGGCGGAUCACAAAGUGUCAGGAGUUUGAGAACAGCCUGGCCAACAUGGUGAAACCCCAUCUCUACUGAAAAUACAAAAUCCCAGCUACUUGGGAGGCUGAGGCAAGAGAAUCACUUGAACCUGGGAGGCGGAUGUUGCAGUGAGCCGAGAUCACGCCACUGCACUCCAGCCUGGGCAACGGAGUGAGACUCCAUCUCACAAAAAAGAGAAAAGAAAAGAAAACUUUGCUUCACUAAGUUUCUCUUGCCAUUAUCUCAUUAAUUCAGAUCUGUACCUCAUUGCUGCUCACACAUAUAUGUUUCUUACCUUAGCCUGAACCUUCUCAGGCCUUGAAGUCAUUAUUCUACUCUUUUUUUUUCUUUUCCUUUUUUAUGGCACUAGAGAAUGAAAACCUAAGGUCUUAGAAAAUCUUAACUUGAAAAAGUCUCUAACUGGCAUGAUUUGAUUACUUUUUUCCCCUGUGGACAAAUAAUUUUCUUUCCUAUAUAAUAGAUUUUUAGUAAGUGAAACCUUUGCUGCUGCUUUCCUGGGUUUACAUUAGUUUUUUCCUGCCCUUAAGAAUAAUUUAUCUGUGCUUCUCUGAUGACUGUUAAUUUCUAAUAGUGCAGGAAGGGAUGAGCUUUUGAUUUCUUCUCACUCCCCUCCUCACCCUACUUCCAAAUUACACACUAACUUCUAACCCUUACAGCCUGUUGGCACAUACACAAGAUCCACGAGACCAUGCUCCUCAGAAGCUACCCAUGUCCUUUCUCACCAUGGUGUGGCUCUUGGAGCCCUGAGUAUCUGUGACUACCCACUCCAAAGGUUGACUGUAAGAGGAGAGCGGCCUUCUUAAUUUUGCAUUUCUUAAUUUUGUUUUUCUCCAUUCCUGUUUUAUGACUUGGCCUUCAGAUGCUUCCUACUCUGGCCUCCUCCUUUUUUCUCCUAGGAAUUGUUUCCAGGUAACCUACCAUGUGCACUUCUCAGCUGCUCUGCUCACCUUUGCCCACCUUCCCGUGACCCUGAGAGUACAGAUCCGAAUAAUGUGGCCUGUGCAGAGCUCAGAGAACUGUGAGGACUACCCAUGCCUGUCAGACUCUGCUCAGGGACAGAGAUGGAUGGGUAAAUGGUGCUGUUGGAGACAUUUUUAUCUUCAUACCAGGCUCUGUUUCAUCCCUGCACCCCGCACCCCCACUCACUCCCCUGAGGGGGUAAAAUGCAGAGGUGGUUGACCUGAAGGGUCUGAUUCCCUCCUUCCCAAGCCUUAGGGCCUACCCUGGAGUGCUGCAGUGUGUGAGAGCUGCUGCUUGCUUGUUUCUCCACUAGGCCUGCUCCAAAUGCUUAGCCAAUCUCUGGAGCCGACACAGUUGCCUACGGGGUGACUUAGCACCAGGUUCCAUUAGCUCUCCAAGUGACUGUUUCCACCCAGUACUUUUGGCGCUUGAGGAUGGGGGGAGGGGGAUUAUUUAAAAUAAAUAAAAUCCGAGGUGGCAGUAGAGGAUUCCUUUUGCUUUAAAAAUCUUUGGACUAAAAAAAAAAAAAAAAAGUUUUUUAUAUAUAAAUAUAUAAAGUAAAUUGUUAUGUAACUAUUAUUGUUUCUUGUAUGUUCUAAUUUUGUUUUAUGAUGUAAUUAAAGAAAGUAAGCUGUGAAGACUUUUCAUUUUCCUGUG
Molecule: long non-coding RNA, 1654 nt
Filed under: Homo sapiens (human)
Lineage: Eukaryota; Metazoa; Chordata; Mammalia; Primates; Hominidae
Description: non-protein coding lnc-FBXL20-1:3
Source: RNAcentral